RNAcentral lists this ribosomal RNA (557 nucleotides) under uncultured bacterium. Its description in RNAcentral is "partial 16S ribosomal RNA". It matches the Rfam family "Bacterial small subunit ribosomal RNA", at positions 355 to 905 of the family's 1533-position model. The record is from RNAcentral.
UGGGGAAUUUUGGACAAUGGGCGAAAGCCUGAUCCAGCAAUGCCGCGUGUGUGAAGAAGGCCUUCGGGUUGUAAAGCACUUUUGUCCGGAAAGAAAUCCUUGGCUCUAAUACAGUCGGGGGAUGACGGUACCGGAAGAAUAAGCACCGGCUAACUACGUGCCAGCAGCCGCGGUAAUACGUAGGGUGCAAGCGUUAAUCGGAAUUACUGGGCGUAAAGCGUGCGCAGGCGGUUUGCUAAGACCGAUGUGAAAUCCCCGGGCUCAACCUGGGAACUGCAUUGGUGACUGGCAGGCUAGAGUAUGGCAGAGGGGGGUAGAAUUCCACGUGUAGCAGUGAAAUGCGUAGAGAUGUGGAGGAAUACCGAUGGCGAAGGCAGCCCCCUGGGCCAAUACUGACGCUCAUGCACGAAAGCGUGGGGAGCAAACAGGAUUAGAUACCCUGGUAGUCCACGCCCUAAACGAUGUCAACUAGUUGUUGGGGAUUCAUUUCCUUAGUAACGUAGCUAACGUGUGAAGUUGACCGCCUGGGGAGUACGGUCGCAAGAUUAAAACUCAAA